CUAGAAGGAUUGACAGAUUGAUAGCUCUUUCUUGAUUUGGUGGAUGGUGGUGCAUGGCCGUUCUUAGUUGGUGGAGUGAUUUGUCUGGUUAAUUCCGAUAACGAACGAGACUCUAGCCUAUUAAAUAACACACAGAAUCAUGUCUUCUGCGGUGUUUCUUAAUGGGAUCAAGUGUGUUUAACACUUUGAAACAGAGCAAUAACAGGUCUGUGAUGCCCUUAGAUGUUCGGGGCCGCACGCGCGCUACAUUGAAAGACAAAAUGAGCGUUUCUGGUUUUUAACAAAACUAGUAAUCUUUGAAUGUUUUUCUUAAUGGGGAUAGGGGAUUGCAAUUGUGCCCCUUGAACGAGGAAUUC
This 356-nucleotide ribosomal RNA is filed under the name Macrocheles subbadius. Its description in RNAcentral is "bacterial SSU rRNA". It matches the Rfam family "Eukaryotic small subunit ribosomal RNA", at positions 1231 to 1613 of the family's 1831-position model. Lineage: Eukaryota; Metazoa; Arthropoda; Arachnida; Mesostigmata; Macrochelidae. The record is from RNAcentral.